This is a long non-coding RNA of Sebastes umbrosus (honeycomb rockfish), 197 nucleotides long. RefSeq lists it as uncharacterized. NCBI's taxonomy places the organism in Eukaryota, Metazoa, Chordata, Actinopteri, Perciformes, Sebastidae. The transcript has 2 exons. The record is from RefSeq and is a predicted model, not a curated record.
AUAUCUACCCCGGUCUUCCUGCCACUCAUCGCCAGAUCGUUCCGUCACCCUCAGUGGUCUGCUCACCUACCAGCUGCAGCUGUUUCCUGGUUCCAACCUGCCUGCUCACUCCUACCCUCUGCUCCUCCUCGACCUGGAUCCCUGCCUUUGUUACUUACCAGCCUGUUCACUCUCCAACGCCAUUCCACCGCUUGGAG